GAUGAUUUAGUCUCAGAUGGAGACGCAGUACUGUUCCAGUUUUCUUUAGCCUUUUAUUUAUUUAGUUAUUCUGGGUCUUUCCUUUGUAAUUUUGAAGUGUGUAGAGUAUAUUAUAGUAACUAACGCUGCAGCUCUAAGAAGCUGAGUGAAAGAAAAAAUACUGUAAGACAUCCUUUCUAAGUUUGUAUCUGUUUGGAUACUGUAUUGAGAUCAGGAAAAGGAGAAACGUCCCACAGCCACGUUAAAGAUACAGGUUCUUAUUCCCAAAUUAGUUGAGCUCCCAGAUUCCAGGUCAAAACUGUUGCUUCAUUAAAGCCCUUUUCCAAGGCUCAGUCCUACUGUUGUAAUUCUGGCAGUCUCUUCCCCACAAAUAUCAGAAGUGCUUAUGUUUAAUUCUGUCAGAUGAGCUUUCCACCAGGGCCAUCCCCAGGCCAUGCUGACUGCUUUCCCAUGGUAUCACUGUUACUCCGGUUCCCUCCACUAAAACCACUGGAGAAAAACAAGUGAGGGAGCACCAUGAACAGCCCGGAGCGGCCCAGCUGCUCUGCUGGCUCAGAAUCCAACAUGUCUGGCCCCGGUCGUUUUCUCGUUCAGUCAGAUGCUCCUCUGCCGAAGUCAGAGGAAAUUUUGUCUGUGGUCUUUGGCUCGUCGGAUGGAAAUGUUUGCACCUAGGUAGAAUCUCAAGCAAAUUCUAAAUCGAUGCAGAACCGGGAGUAAGCUGACAGCUGAAUGACAUGUUUUGUUUAUACGGUGUGGGGGAGGGAUGAGAUUUGUCACAUCGCUCUGUCCCAAGUCUGGCAUUUGGCACAAUCUGGAGCAGGGGCACCCUGCUGCCUGCUAAUCUGCUGUAGGAAUCGUGCGUGUCUGGAGACCAGCGGCUGGAGGCCGGAGGCCGGCGUCCGUAGAGCAGAGGGAAGCCCCGCCACCUCGCUGGGGGAAGGCAGGAGGUGGGGAGAGGCCUGGCGGUGUCCUCUGUGAAGGGAGAGCAGAGGGGUACGCAGUGCUGUGGAGGGGGGAUCCCCUUUGGUCGCACGCUCCACAGAGCCCUGACCGAAGGCCAGUCCUCAUGGCUACCUCGGCUUUAAGAGUUCAUUUCAAUAAGCGUGAUUCAGCUUAUAAAUCAUGUGAAGGGUCCCCUAUCUCCCUGC
Molecule: long non-coding RNA, 1148 nt
Filed under: Equus asinus (donkey)
Lineage: Eukaryota; Metazoa; Chordata; Mammalia; Perissodactyla; Equidae
Description: lncRNA (ENSEASG00005038704.1)
Source: RNAcentral